AUUCACUCAGAGCAGACCGAAGACUGUGAGACUUCCUCCCCACAGUGAGCUAAAAGGACGCUUUUGUCAGAGUGGGGAAAUAAAAGGGCUUUAUGGGAAGGAAGAUAAGAACAGAUGAGUCAGAGGUUUCUGCUUAAUGGUGGUACAGCCAAGCAGACAGGCAAGUAAGUGGCCAUACUGCUACUGCCUCAUGUAGGAUCCGGCAGGCUGGUGGGUUAUCAGUCCUCACGUGGGACCCUCCCACCAUGGCAGCUGAGCACAUCCAAGCUGGGGGAUCCUGAAGAGACCUUCACCUGGGUGCCACGUGGAAGAUUGGCCAGCACCAUUUUGACUCCUGUGGAUGGGAAACCCUGGAACAGUGUCUAUAAGUCAUGAAAAACAGAGCAAUUGAAAUGGAAUCUCACUUGGGACCCCAGUCACUGCUCCAGACUGACCAGUCAGUGGACAAGGCUUCUCGCAUUGCUCACCAGCACCCAAACUGCACCUGGUCACCUGUCUACAUUCAGAUUUAGAUGAAAGCCACACCAUGGAGGCAGCCAGAGGCCCAUGGGAGAUGUCUGGAUUCGCAGAGGAAUAGCUCCAUGUGAUGCAAACCUUGACUAAUGGGAACAGGAAAAGGGAGGAAACCAGGAAGAUAAAUCUCCCUCCCUUCUCAUUG
This 658-nucleotide long non-coding RNA is filed under the name Homo sapiens (human). RNAcentral's name for it is "non-protein coding lnc-KLF17-1:29". The record is from RNAcentral. Lineage: Eukaryota; Metazoa; Chordata; Mammalia; Primates; Hominidae.